RNAcentral lists this ribosomal RNA (647 nucleotides) under Pseudohoeflea suaedae. RNAcentral describes it as "bacterial SSU rRNA". It matches the Rfam family "Bacterial small subunit ribosomal RNA", at positions 65 to 760 of the family's 1533-position model. The record is from RNAcentral. Lineage: Bacteria; Pseudomonadati; Pseudomonadota; Alphaproteobacteria; Hyphomicrobiales; Rhizobiaceae.
AACGGUCCUUCGGGACAGUGGCAGACGGGUGAGUAACGCGUGGGAAUCUACCUAGCUCUACGGAAUAGCUUCGGGAAACUGGAAUUAAUACCGUAUACGCCCUCCGGGGGAAAGAUUUAUCGGAGUUAGAUGAGCCCGCGUUAGAUUAGCUAGUUGGUGGGGUAAUGGCCUACCAAGGCGACGAUCUAUAGCUGGUCUGAGAGGAUGAUCAGCCACACUGGGACUGAGACACGGCCCAGACUCCUACGGGAGGCAGCAGUGGGGAAUAUUGGACAAUGGGCGAAAGCCUGAUCCAGCCAUGCCGCGUGUGUGAUGAAGGCCUUAGGGUUGUAAAGCACUUUCAACGGGGAAGAUAAUGACGGUACCCGUAGAAGAAGCCCCGGCUAACUUCGUGCCAGCAGCCGCGGUAAUACGAAGGGGGCUAGCGUUGUUCGGAAUUACUGGGCGUAAAGCGCGCGUAGGCGGAUUGAUCAGUUAGGGGUGAAAUCCCAAGGCUCAACCUUGGAACUGCCUCUAAUACUGUCAGUCUAGAGUUCUAGAGAGGUGAGUGGAAUUCCGAGUGUAGAGGUGAAAUUCGUAGAUAUUCGGAGGAACACCAGUGGCGAAGGCGGCUCACUGGCUAGAUACUGACGCUGAGGUGCGAAAGU